GGGGGGGGGGGGGGGGGGGCGGGGGGCGGGCAGGUCGAACGGCAGCACAGUAAGAGCUUGCUCUUACGGGUGGCGAGUGGCGGACGGGGGAGGAAUACAUCGGAAUCUACUUUUUCGUGGGGGAUAACGUAGGGAAACUUACGCUAAUACCGCAUACAACCUACGGGUGAAAGCAGGGGAUCUUCGGACCUUGCGCGAUUGAAUGAGCCGAUGUCGGAUUAGCUAGUUGGCGGGGUAAAGGCCCACCAAGGCGACGAUCCGUAGCUGGUCUGAGGGGAUGAUCAGCCACACUGGAACUGAGACACGGUCCAGACUCCUACGGGAGGCAGCAGUGGGGAAUAUUGGACAAUGGGCGCAAGCCUGAUCCAGCCAUACCGCGUGGGCGAAGAAGGCCUUCGGGUUGUAAAGCCCUUUUGUUGGGAAAGAAAAGCAGCAGGUUAAUACCCCGCUGUUCUGACGGUACCCAAAGAAUAAGCACCGGCUAACUUCGUG
Molecule: ribosomal RNA, 492 nt
Filed under: uncultured bacterium
Lineage: Bacteria
Description: partial 16S ribosomal RNA
Rfam family: Bacterial small subunit ribosomal RNA
Source: RNAcentral